This 190-nucleotide ribosomal RNA is filed under the name uncultured Luteolibacter sp. RNAcentral's name for it is "partial 16S ribosomal RNA". It matches the Rfam family "Bacterial small subunit ribosomal RNA", at positions 587 to 776 of the family's 1533-position model. Lineage: Bacteria; Pseudomonadati; Verrucomicrobiota; Verrucomicrobiia; Verrucomicrobiales; Verrucomicrobiaceae. The record is from RNAcentral.
GUCAGAUGUGAAAUCCCGGGGCUCAACCCCGGAACUGCAUCCGAUACUGCCGUGCUAGAGGAUUGGAGAGGUAGCUGGAAUUCUUGGUGUAGCAGUGAAAUGCGUGGAGAUCAAGAGGAACACUCGUGGCGAAAGCGAGCUACUGGACAAUAUCUGACGCUGAGGCUCGAAGGCCAGGGUAGCGAAAGGG